AUGGCGUCGCCGGGUGGCGGGUACGCGGACCGGCCAGCGCCGCCGCUGGACGGGAUGAUCACGGUGGACGGGGGCGGGGGCAGGACGCCGCCGCCGGCGGGGCUGCCGAGGCCGCCAGGGUUCCGGGGGCUGAUGCAGCAGCCGUCGCGGCUGGCGUCCGGGGUGCGGCAGUUCGCGUCGCGGGUGUCGAUGAAGGUGCCGGAGGUGGUGCCGGGCAUCCGGCCGGGCGGCGGGCGGAUGACGCGGAUGCAGUCCAGCGCGCAGAUGGGGCUCAAGGGGCUGCGCUUCCUCGACAAGACCUCCGGGAGCAAGGAGGGCUGGAAGGCCGUCGAGCGCCGCUUCGACGAGAUGAGCAAGGCCAGCGGCCGCCUCCCCAAGGAGAGCUUCGGCAAGUGCAUCGGCAUGGGGGACUCCAAGGAGUUCGCCGGCGAGCUGUUCGUGACGCUGUCGCGGCGGAGGAGCAUCGAGCCGGAGCAGGGCAUCACCAAGGAGCAGCUCAGGGAGUUCUGGACGGAGAUGACCGACCAGAACUUCGACUCGCGGCUCCGCAUUUUCUUCGACAUGUGCGACAAGAACGGCGAUGGGAUGCUCACGGAGGAUGAGGUCAAGGAGGUUAUUAUAUUGAGCGCGUCGGCCAACAAGCUGGCCAAGCUCAAGAGCCACGCCGCGACCUACUCGUCGCUCAUCAUGGAGGAGCUCGACCCCGACGACCGUGGCUACAUCGAGAUUUGGCAGCUGGAGACGCUGCUGCGCGGGAUGGUGAGCGCGCAGGCGCCGGAGGUGAAGCUGAAGCGGACGACGUCGAGCCUGGCGAGGACGAUGAUCCCGAUGCGGUACCGGAGCCCGCUGAAGCGGCACGUCACCAGGACCAUGGACUUCGUCCACGAGAACUGGAAGCGGAUAUGGCUGGUGACGCUCUGGCUCGCCGCCAACCUCGCCCUCUUCGUCUACAAGUUCGAGCAGUACAAGCACCGGUCCUCCUUCCAGGUCAUGGGCAACUGCGUCUGCGUCGCCAAGGGCGCCGCCGAGACGCUCAAGCUCAACAUGGCGCUCAUCCUGCUGCCCGUCUGCCGCAACACGCUCACCACCCUCCGCUCCACCGCGCUCAGCCACGUCAUCCCCUUCGACGACAACAUCAACUUCCACAAGGUGCUCGCCGGCGCCAUCGCCGUCGGCACGGUGGUGCACACGCUCGCCCACGUCACCUGCGACUUCCCCAGGCUCGUCUCCUGCCCGAGCGACAAGUUCAUGGCCCUGCUGGGCCCCAACUUCGGCUUCAGGCAGCCGACGUACCCGGACCUGCUGGCCAGCGCCCCGGGGGUCACCGGCAUCCUCAUGAUCAUCAUCAUGACCUUCUCCUUCACGCUGGCCAUGCACACCUUCAGGCGGAGCGUCGUCAAGCUGCCGUCGCCGCUGCACCACCUGGCCGGCUUCAACGCCUUCUGGUACGCGCACCACCUGCUGCUGCUCGUCUACGUCCUCCUCGUGGUGCAUUCCUACUUCAUAUUCCUCACCAGGGUCUGGUACAAGAAGACGACAUGGAUGUUCCUCAUAGUCCCUGUCCUCUUCUACGCCUGCGAGAGAAUUAUCAGAAAAGUUCGCGAGAACAACUACCACGUGAACAUUCUCAAGGCUGCGAUUUACCCAGGAAAUGUGCUCUCUCUUCACAUGAAGAAGCCACCGGGUUUCAAGUACAAGAGUGGGAUGUACCUGUUUGUGAAAUGCCCCGACGUUUCGCCUUUCGAAUGGCAUCCGUUCUCCAUUACUUCUGCACCUGGAGAUGAUUACCUGAGCGUGCAUAUCCGCACGCUAGGUGACUGGACAUCUGAACUCAGGAACUUGUUCGGGAAGUGUUUCGAGGCACAAGUUACUUCCAAGAAGGCCACCCUUUCGAGACUUGAAACUACAGUUGUGGCAGACUCUGCGACAGAAGACACCAGGUUUCCUAAGGUCUUCAUCGAUGGCCCUUAUGGUGCACCGGCGCAAAAUUACAAGAAAUACGACAUUCUUUUGCUUAUCGGGCUUGGAAUUGGCGCCACUCCUUUCAUCAGCAUAUUGAAAGAUCUCUUGAACAACAUAAAGUCCAAUGAUGAGGUGGAAAGUAUACACGGUUCUGAGAUAGGCAGCUUCAAGAACAGUGGGCCAGGGAGAGCUUACUUCUACUGGGUUACCAGAGAGCAAGGAUCCUUCGACUGGUUCAAAGGAGUCAUGAAUGAAGUCGCUGACAACGAUCACAGCGAUGUCAUAGAGAUGCACAAUUACCUCACCAGCGUGUAUGAAGAAGGCGACGCAAGGUCAGCGCUGAUUGCCAUGGUUCAGUCACUCCAGCAUGCCAAAAAUGGUGUUGACAUCGUCUCCGGAAGCAAGAUUCGGACACAUUUUGCAAGGCCUAACUGGAGAAAAGUGUUCUCUGAUUUGGCCAAUGCCCACAAGAACUCUCGUAUAGGUGUUUUCUAUUGUGGAUCUCCAACACUCACGAAACAACUCAAGGAUCUUUCAAAAGAAUUCAGCCAGACAACCACAACUAGGUUUCAUUUCCACAAGGAAAAUUUCUAA
RNAcentral lists this ribosomal RNA (2556 nucleotides) under Triticum aestivum (bread wheat). RNAcentral's name for it is "partial small subunit ribosomal RNA". Lineage: Eukaryota; Viridiplantae; Streptophyta; Magnoliopsida; Poales; Poaceae. The record is from RNAcentral.